Long non-coding RNA from Acyrthosiphon pisum (pea aphid), 725 nucleotides. RefSeq annotates it as kelch-like protein 3. The transcript has 6 exons. NCBI's taxonomy places the organism in Eukaryota, Metazoa, Arthropoda, Insecta, Hemiptera, Aphididae. The record is from RefSeq and is a predicted model, not a curated record.
AAUCCUUACGAGAAGAUGAGGUUUUUUGUGAUAUUAAACUAGAAACAGACGAUCACAAAAUAAUUCUCGCUCAUAAAGUGGUUUUAGCAUCGGAAAGUCCAUAUUUCUAUACCAUGUUCACCAAAUUUUCAAAAAAGAAUCAUGAUCUCGUUGUAAUGAAAGAGAUACAUUCAACCGCUUUACAGUUGCUAGUAAAUUUUAUUUAUUCGGGGCAUAUCGUGGUCACUGGAGAAAACGUUCAGGAUUUGUUGCCAGUUGCAAAUCUCUUGCAGUUACAAGAAGUAAAAGAGGUGUGUUGUGAUUUUUUACAGACACACCUCUGCCCUACAAAUUGUAUCGGUAUAUACGAUAUAGCUGAUUUACAUAGCUGUACGAAAUUGUUAACAAAUUCAGAAUUAUAUAUUCAACAGCAUUUUUCAGAAGUUGCUGUUGGCGACGAAUUUUUAUCGUUAUCAUCGGAAAAAUUAAUUAAGUUGAUCUCCACUGAUAAACUUAAUGUCCCAUCUGAAAAAAAAGUAUUUGAAAGUGUUAUUCGUUGGGUAAAACAUGAAUUGGGUUCCAAAAAAUGUAUUUUACCCCAAUUAAUGGAGCACGUGCGUUUACCUUUAACAUCGAAGAAUUACAUAUUAAAUAAUGUAGUUGAGGAACCUCUUAUUAAAAAUUGUUUAAAAUAUCUUAUUCCACAAAACAUCCGGAAUAAACCUAGACACGGAGAUAAAGUAUAA